Molecule: unclassified non-coding RNA, 391 nt
Filed under: soil metagenome
Description: partial contains 5.8S ribosomal RNA, internal transcribed spacer 2, and large subunit ribosomal RNA
Rfam family: 5.8S ribosomal RNA (bases 1-122)
Source: RNAcentral
GAUGAAGAACGUAGCGAAAUGCGAUACUUGGUGUGAAUUGCAGAAUCCCGUGAACCAUCGAGUCUUUGAACGCAAGUUGCGCCCGAAGCCAUUAGGCCGAGGGCACGCCUGCCUGGGCGUCACACGUCGUUGCCCCCCCAUCUACUCCUUCGGGAUUGCGGGGGGCGGAUGAUGGCCUCCCGUGCGCCUUGUCGCGCGGUUGGCAUAAAUGCCAAGUCCUCGGCGACGCACGCCACGACAAUCGGUGGUUGCGAAACCUCGGUUGCCCGUCGUGUGCGGUCGUCGCGCAUCGAGGGCUCGAAAAAAUUGCCGGGCUCCGGCUCGGCUUUCAACGCGACCCCAGGUCAGGCGGGGUUACCCGCUGAAUUUAAGCAUAUCAAUAAGCGGAGGA